AAAUUUUAUUUCUAGUGAUUGGAAUGAUGGGAAUUUAAACCCCUUUCAGAGUAACAAUUGGAGGGCAAGUCUGGUGCCAGCAGCCGCGGUAAUUCCAGCUCCAAUAGCGUAUAUUAAAGUUGUUGCAGUUAAAAAGCUCGUAGUUGGAUGUCUGCUGGAAGCAAUCAGUCCGCCCUAUUUGUAGGGUGUGCACAUGAUGAAUUCUGGCAUCUAUGUCCCAAUAAUAUAACGGAAGCUAUUGGACGAAAGUUCAAUAGUAUAUUUCCGAUUAUUGGGAUACUGUUACUUUGA
RNAcentral lists this ribosomal RNA (291 nucleotides) under Sarcocystis sp. ex Vulpes lagopus. Its description in RNAcentral is "partial 18S ribosomal RNA". It matches the Rfam family "Eukaryotic small subunit ribosomal RNA", at positions 490 to 760 of the family's 1831-position model. The record is from RNAcentral. Lineage: Eukaryota; Apicomplexa; Conoidasida; Eucoccidiorida; Sarcocystidae.